CUUUCUUUGCUGGCGACCGGCGCACGGGUGAGUAACACGUAUCCAACCUGCCCUUUACUCGGGGAUAGCCUUUCGAAAGAAAGAUUAAUACCCGAUAGUAUAAUGAUUCCGCAUGGUUUCAUUAUUAAAGGAUUCCGGUAAAGGAUGGAGAUGCGUUCCAUUAGGUUGUUGGUGAGGUAACGGCUCACCAAGCCUUCGAUGGAUAGGGGUUCUGAGAGGAAGGUCCCCCACAUUGGAACUGAGACACGGUCCAA
RNAcentral lists this ribosomal RNA (254 nucleotides) under uncultured bacterium. Its description in RNAcentral is "partial 16S ribosomal RNA". It matches the Rfam family "Bacterial small subunit ribosomal RNA", at positions 79 to 334 of the family's 1533-position model. The record is from RNAcentral.